RNAcentral lists this long non-coding RNA (210 nucleotides) under Felis catus (domestic cat). RNAcentral's name for it is "lncRNA (ENSFCAG00000048571.1)". Lineage: Eukaryota; Metazoa; Chordata; Mammalia; Carnivora; Felidae. The record is from RNAcentral.
AUGCUCAACCGACUGAACCACCCAGGUGCCCCACAGCUGGACAAUUUCUAUCUGAUGACAGUGUCUGGACGAGCUGCUUUGGCAACCAUCUGCAAUAAUUUUGCUGACAGGGACUUUGCUGUUCCCGUAACAAGGAAACAUUGCCAGAACCAAAUGCUUGUGGCCUCUCCCCAUCUUUCAGAAGGACAAAUUGAAAGGCUGUUAUCCUGA